ACAACAAAAUGAAGAGUACAUGGAAAGUGUCAUUGCAUUUGUACUAGCUAGCUGACUGAUCUAGAGGAAUAUUAUUUGGAGGCCCUUUUACCCAUUCUUUUCGCAUUUUUCCUAUAAGUAGGUGCUCCUGCCCAGUGAGAAAUCUAACAUCUCCCAAAGUUCCAAACUCGAAUCUCUUCUCUUUUAUCUCUCUUUGAUGAUCAUCAUCCCUUUCCUAUCUCUAUUUUUAUGGGGAAAAGGUGAGACGGGAGGCACUAGUUGGUAAUUAAGGUUGUUGACAGAAGAUAGAGAGCACAGAUGAUGAUAUGCAUAUUAUAUAAAAAGCAGCUAGGGAACUCAUGAAUUGUGCAUCUCACUCCUUUGUGCUCUCUAUACUUCUGUCAUCACCCUUCAGCCUCCCUGUCUCACUACCCCUCUACACCAACUGUUAGUAUAUAUCUAGUUACUGGAGCUGGAAUUCAUAUAUAAAUUAGUUUAAUAAGCAUGCUCAUGCGUGUAUAAUAUGAUGUUCACAGGUUUUAAAAAAACUGUGAGUCCAUGACUGCAUCGCUAUUGCAAUUGUAGCCACAUCAACUGUAUUUGUUAACGAUUUUAUGUAAUAUUAAAACGCAACAAAACUGCAGUGGCAGCCGCAGUUUGAAACUUUCUUCUCAUACCAUAUUCUCUGAUAGAUAUUAAUAUUAAUUUGCUUGUAUAUAUGAUGGCUAUUAUUAACCUUUGUAUUUUGCAGUUAGACGUGCACUGCCGCUGUGGCUGUUGGACACUACAAAUCUGUUUGUUGAUGGUACGAGGAGGUUAGAAUGAAAGGGUUUAAGUUUAACUUUUGCGCAAGUGCAAUUCAUUCCGUACCGAUACCUCUUGUUCAAAAGCUUGCAUUUGAUUUGCUACACUGCCUCUGAGAUAUAAUUAGAGAGUGAUCAUAGACUCGUUAUCAUGAUCACAAUAUGAUUCUUAACAAGAAGAAUGUACUGUAACUUGCUUCUUGGAAGAAGGACCACAUGCAAUUGGAAGUUGUGGCAAGGGGAUUGUGAAGAAAAUAUAUGGGGUCCAAAUUCCAAACUGACCAUGACAUAUUGUAGGACAUAUAUAUAUAUACUUAAUUGCUCAGUAUUCUUUCAAGUCAAUACCCCACACUCAGUCUUGUUCACUGACUUACAAUGGUGAUCUCUAGCUAGAGAGUGUGAAUAUAUCAUCAAUAGAUAAGAGCAACAAUGUAUUUUAUGCAACAAAGUUAUAAGGUUUAAUGUAUGCAUGUCCUAUUUACUGUAUUCACGAACAAAACCAAAGGUUAAAAACAUGUAAUCAAAUUGGUCAUGGUCCAA
Molecule: long non-coding RNA, 1322 nt
Organism: Glycine soja
Lineage: Eukaryota; Viridiplantae; Streptophyta; Magnoliopsida; Fabales; Fabaceae
Exons: 2
Source: RefSeq, a predicted model, not a curated record